CUUUCACCAAGCUCAGUCGUGACAGAUCAAGUCCACAUGGCAACUAUUAUUUUUACAGUGCACUAGUUUGGACCAGGAACCAGGGGACACAAGUUAGGACCAGGAACCAGGGGAGCACCAGUUUGGACCAGAAAUCAGGGGGCACCAGUUUGGACCAGGGACCACGGGGGAACCGAAAAAAUGUGUAUUGCCUAUUAAACUGGAAACAUGGACAAGAUUAUUCUGGACCUUCUCACAGCUUCCCCGCCCCUCCCCUCUCAAUACUGAAAUGCAAAACAUUUGAAAAUUGAUGAAGUUUUCAUUGACCAUCAACCAGUCUGGGCCAGAGAUGUGACCAUUACGUCAGAACCAAAAGCAACUGGACCUGAUAUCAGAUGGACCAAUGUCCAACGGCCAGG
Long non-coding RNA from Esox lucius (northern pike), 398 nucleotides. The record is from Ensembl. Lineage: Eukaryota; Metazoa; Chordata; Actinopteri; Esociformes; Esocidae.